UGCCAUUGCUAAGUCAAGGCUUCUUCCUGUGCAUUUUCUUGCCGCUCAAUGGGAGUUUUGUCUGUUACAGCUUUGGUAGAUUGAUACUCAUCCGCCGCUCUAUCUCUUUCUGAGUUUAGAGUUGAUCGGUUUUCGUUUUGAAGGCUUAUCGUAAAGGAUGAGCAGUGCUUUGUUUUUGAGUUGAGCUCUGAAUACCGUCAUUCGAAGGUACCUUCUGUAUCAGAGCUCUUAGUAACAUUUCACACAUUG
Talaromyces marneffei PM1 is the source of this 249-nucleotide non-coding RNA. The record is from Rfam. NCBI's taxonomy places the organism in Eukaryota, Fungi, Ascomycota, Eurotiomycetes, Eurotiales, Trichocomaceae.